CUAUCAAUUCCCCCCACACCUAAAUCAUGCUUGUCCUCAAGCAUAAGAACAGCAAUUGAACACCAAAAUUUGACUAUGGCUAUUGCUCUAACUAUCAUAUUGCCAAGAUACCCAGAAAAACAUAUAUCAAGCAUCACAGUUAAGAUCCAAGAAAAACCACUCCGGUUAGCUUCUCAACCACCAACUCCUCCAAUUUAAAGCAAAC
This 205-nucleotide long non-coding RNA is filed under the name Coffea arabica (coffee). RNAcentral's name for it is "long non-coding RNA (CARA_LNC002350)". The record is from RNAcentral. Lineage: Eukaryota; Viridiplantae; Streptophyta; Magnoliopsida; Gentianales; Rubiaceae.